GCUUGGUACAGCAUGUAAAUUACUCAUCUUUGUGAAGUUGAAGGGGUUUUUGCAAUGAGUUCCUAAAGAGGCCAUAUUAGCACCUGGAUAUAUUUUUAAUACCUUUAAAAUGCCCAAGAGUGAGUCUAGAUCACGUUCAAGAAGUAAGAGUGGCAGCCCGCGCCGGAAACACAAGAAAGAGCGCAGUUAUCGCCGGCGAACGAGAAGUCGUUCUCCCAGCGCGACGCCAUCAUCAACCAAGAGAAAAAGUCGGGAUCGAUCACCUCGGCGCCGCUCUCGAUCACCACGCAGGAAGAAGAGAUAUUCGAGAAGUAGAUCUCGCUCUCCCAGUGUUGAUCGAUUUGGUCGUUCUAUAGUGAAAAGAAAAGAGGACGAUCCUGGCUCGAAACGAAAAGAGGAAGAAGAACGAUUACAGGAGAUGGAACGACAGAGAAAAAUUCGAGCCACUGAGAAAGAAAAGAUGAUGAUUGAGGAAGAAACUCAAAAACGAGUUGAAGAUCUUGUUGCUAAGAGAGUGGAGGAAGAACUUGCAAAAAGAAAAGAUGAAAUUGAUGCUGAAGUCAUGAAGAGAGUAGAGGAAGCUAAAAGAGUGAUGGAGAAGCAGAUGGUGGAAGAAUUUGAAAAAAGGCGUCAGGAGCAAAUCGAAGAACAACAAGUGAAAGAGAUACCUUUGACGGAUCAGUUGAACAGGAAAACAUUAUCAAGAGCUAGCAGUCAGUCUUUUCAAGCAUUUGGAUCUAAUCCUACCCUUCUCUUGUGCCGUUCUAUCCUUGAACAUGACAUUCAAUCUAGACAUUCACAAAAGACUGCAAUUACUCAAGAACUGCGCAAUUUUUAAAAUUGCUGUUUGCCUAGAAACUUUUGCCUAGUGGAAAAAAAUUAUUUAGGGCACUUCUUGAAGGAACAUUCCACUUUGUGCCAGCACUAAUUUGAAACUUUUUCUGGGAGAGUUCAAGUCUUUGCAGACUGUGAAGGAUUUCCUCAAGGAGACUUUGCUUGGAGCAUUUCAUAGGAAUUGUUAGGCGGAUAUGUGAGGAGGAACGUCGUAAAAUUACUCUGCUAGAGAGCAAAGUUGAUGAACUCCAAUUAAGACUAACUGAAGCGAAUCAAAAGUUGGCAGAAGAACGUUUACAAAUGGUGGAAGAAAGAAGAACAUUAA
Molecule: unclassified non-coding RNA, 1159 nt
Filed under: Pocillopora damicornis (cauliflower coral)
Lineage: Eukaryota; Metazoa; Cnidaria; Anthozoa; Scleractinia; Pocilloporidae
Description: arginine and glutamate-rich protein 1-A-like, transcript variant X1
Source: RNAcentral